GACGAACGCUGGCGGCGUGCUUAACACAUGCAAGUCGAACGGAAAGGCCCUGCUUUUGUGGGGUGCUCGAGUGGCGAACGGGUGAGUAACACGUGAGUAACCUGCCCUUGACUUUGGGAUAACUUCAGGAAACUGGGGCUAAUACCGGAUAGGAGCUCCUGCUGCAUGGUGGGGGUUGGAAAGUUUCGGCGGUUAGGGAUGGACUCGCGGCUUAUCAGCUUGUUGGUUGGGUAGUGGCUUACCCAGGCUUUGACGGGUAGCCGGCCUGAGAGGGUGGCCGGCCACAUUAGGACUGAGAUACGGACCAGACUCCUACGGGGGGCAGCAGGGGGGAAUAUGGCACAAUGGGCGGAAGCCUGAUGCAGCAACGCCGCGUGCGGGAUGACGGCCUUCUGGUUGUAAACCGCUUUCGCCUGUGACGAAGCGGGAGUGACGGUAAUAGGUAAAGAAGCACCGGCUAACUACGUG
Molecule: ribosomal RNA, 468 nt
Filed under: uncultured bacterium
Lineage: Bacteria
Description: partial 16S ribosomal RNA
Rfam family: Bacterial small subunit ribosomal RNA
Source: RNAcentral